Molecule: ribosomal RNA, 492 nt
Filed under: uncultured bacterium
Lineage: Bacteria
Description: partial 16S ribosomal RNA
Rfam family: Bacterial small subunit ribosomal RNA
Source: RNAcentral
AGUGAACGCUGGCGGUAGGCCUAACACAUGCAAGUCGAACGGCAGCACAGUAAGAGCUUGCUCUUACGGGUGGCGAGUGGCGGACGGGUGAGGAAUACAUCGGAAUCUACUUUUUCGUGGGGGAUAACGUAGGGAAACUUACGCUAAUACCGCAUACGACCUACGGGUGAAAUCAGGGGAUCUUCGGACCUUGCGCGAUUGAAUGAGCCGAUGUCGGAUUAGCUAGUUGGCGGGGUAAAGGCCCACCAAGGCGACGAUCCGUAGCUGGUCUGAGAGGAUGAUCAGCCACACUGGAACUGAGACACGGUCCAGACUCCUACGGGAGGCAGCAGUGGGGAAUAUUGGACAAUGGGCGCAAGCCUGAUCCAGCCAUACCGCGUGAGUGAAGAAGGCCUUCGGGUUGUAAAGCCCUUUUGUUGGGAAAGAAAAGCAGCAGGUUAAUACCCCGAUGUUCUGACGGUACCCAAAGAAUAAGCACCGGCUAACUUCGUG